UAGGUAGUUUAUAAAAAAAAUCUUAACUUUGGAAGUUAAUGAACGAUAGAAAAUCGCUUUUUAA
RNAcentral lists this transfer RNA (64 nucleotides) under Oxyloma wujiaquensis. RNAcentral describes it as "tRNA-Pro". The record is from RNAcentral. Lineage: Eukaryota; Metazoa; Mollusca; Gastropoda; Stylommatophora; Succineidae.